CAGUAGCCGCGGUAAUACGUAGGUGGCAAGCGUUGUCCGGAAUUAUUGGGCGUAAAGGGCUCGCAGGCGGUUUCUUAAGUCUGAUGUGAAAGCCCCCGGCUCAACCGGGGAGGGUCAUUGGAAACUGGGAAACUUGAGUGCAGAAGAGGAGAGUGGAAUUCCACGUGUAGCGGUGAAAUGCGUAGAGAUGUGGAGGAACUCCAGUGGCGAAGGCGGCUCUCUGGUCUGUAACUGACGCUGAGGCACGAAAGCGUGGGGAGCAAACAGGAUUAGAUACCCCCGUAGUCCCUGUCUCUUAUAC
Molecule: ribosomal RNA, 301 nt
Filed under: uncultured bacterium
Lineage: Bacteria
Description: partial 16S ribosomal RNA
Rfam family: Bacterial small subunit ribosomal RNA
Source: RNAcentral